GACGAACGCUGGCGGCGUGCUUAACACAUGCAAGUCGAACGGAAAGGCCCUGCUUUUGUGGGGUGCUCGAGUGGCGAACGGGUGAGUAACACGUGAGUAACCUGCCCUUGACUUUGGGAUAACUUCAGGAAACUGGGGCUAAUACCGGAUAGGAGCUCCUGCUGCAUGGUGGGGGUUGGAAAGUUUCGGCGGUUGGGGAUGGACUCGCGGCUUAUCAGCUUGUUGGUGGGGUAGUGGCUUACCAAGGCUUUGACGGGUAGCCGGCCUGAGAGGGUGACCGGCCACGGGGGUGGGGGGAUGGGCGCCCGAGUGCGAGGGGGGGGAGGCGGGGGGAGAAGGGGGAGCGGGGGGGAAGGAUGAUGGAGGGGCGAGGGGGGGGGGAGGGGGGCGCGCGGGCUGUAAUCCGCUGUGGGCGGUGAGGAAGCGGGGGUGACGGUAAUGGGGAAAGAGGCGCCGACUAACUACGGGCCAGCAGCAGGGUAAAGAAGGGGAACGGCACACGUCUGACC
RNAcentral lists this ribosomal RNA (509 nucleotides) under uncultured bacterium. RNAcentral describes it as "partial 16S ribosomal RNA". The stretch from base 20 to 333 matches the Rfam family "Bacterial small subunit ribosomal RNA", at positions 47 to 358 of the family's 1533-position model. The record is from RNAcentral.